Molecule: non-coding RNA, 1235 nt
Organism: Zonotrichia albicollis (white-throated sparrow)
Lineage: Eukaryota; Metazoa; Chordata; Aves; Passeriformes; Passerellidae
Source: RefSeq, a predicted model, not a curated record
UAGCCAUCUGAUUUCAUUUUUCCUGUGCUGCAGAAGAAAUGCAUACAUUGAAAAUCAAAUAGGCCAGAGGAUGAUUUAGAUUGACACUGCUGAGAAGAGCAACACUCCUACUUCCAACUCUCCCCUGCCUCAGCCUCACUUCCACAGCCAGAAGUGAAUUCUAUCAGAAAUACACUUUUCUUAAUUAUUAGUUAAUUAAUUAAUUAAUUAAUCCAGAUCUGGAUUAAUAUUGUGCUCUUAGAUCUGGGGGUUUUGUUGUAGUUGAGACACGUGUUGUGUGUUUUCUGCAUUAGGUUUAGUCUGGAUCAGUUUUCUAAAGUUUUUUUUUAGAUGUUGUGCUGCGGGGUUUUUGUUUUGGGGUUUGGUUUUUUUUAAUAUUUUCAGAUUAUGAAUCAGUUAGUGGAAACAUGAAAUGCAAUUUACAUUCUUGAAAAAGAGUUAUUUUAUAAUGGUUCUGUGUGAAAGGAGAACUGAAGGCAAGGUUGUUGCAGUCCAAUUUAAGGUAAUUCCACAUUACUAACAGCAUGUAUUAGCAGCAAGAGAUUAAGAAAAGAGUUUGCACUUAGUUCAAGCCAUGAUUUUACUGAAAAUGUAGGUCAUGCUAAAUUUUCCACAUAAUUAAACAAAAUUAAUAAAACUGAUUAAGAUAUGUUCCAAGUAGCUUUGAAUACCAUGCUGUUUUGCAACUCCCUGGAAUUGCAAGAAUAUGAGAGACUACUUAGGUGGAUAUUGGGAAAUGAAGUUUUCUCAGCCAAAAAAAAAAUCUUUUCUCUUUUAACAGAACAGCAAUGGCAAUCUUUGCAAACUGUGUGUUCUUUAUUAAUCUAAAAUUCUUGCCUAUUCAGGAGAAGAGCAAGUUGAAAGCAUCCAUAAAGGAAAAUGGUAGAGUAGUUAAUUUUGUGCUGAAUAACAAAGUAAGUGCCAUACUUAUUUCUGAGAUUUCAGAAGGAAAAUACCAAGUGGUGUAAGUGUUGUAGAGUUUUGCCUUCACACAGAAAAAACAAGAACUGUAGACAUUGUAUCUUGAUUCAAUAUAUAAAUUAAAAUAUUCCAUUUAUAUUUUUAAUGCAUGUGAUGCUGUACAAGUGAAAUGUUAUAUAAAAAAAUGAAGAGCAAUAUUCUUUCUCCACAAAAGAACCAGGGAAGGUUUUUUUCCCCAGCUAAAAUUGCCAUGCUGUUGUCCUUCUCUCAUUGUUGGAGAGGGGAAACUCUGAAUAAAAAACACAUCACUGAAA